This 2225-nucleotide ribosomal RNA is filed under the name Drosophila melanogaster (fruit fly). Its description in RNAcentral is "eukaryotic LSU rRNA". It matches the Rfam family "Eukaryotic large subunit ribosomal RNA", at positions 1281 to 3185 of the family's 3401-position model. The record is from RNAcentral. Lineage: Eukaryota; Metazoa; Arthropoda; Insecta; Diptera; Drosophilidae.
UGUAACAACUCACCUGCCGAAGCAACUAGCCCUUAAAAUGGAUGGCGCUUAAGUUGUAUACCUAUACAUUACCGCUAAAGUAGAUGAUUUAUAUUACUUGUGAUAUAAAUUUUGAAACUUUAGUGAGUAGGAAGGUACAAUGGUAUGCGUAGAAGUGUUUGGCGUAAGCCUGCAUGGAGCUGCCAUUGGUACAGAUCUUGGUGGUAGUAGCAAAUAAUCGAAUGAGACCUUGGAGGACUGAAGUGGAGAAGGGUUUCGUGUGAACAGUGGUUGAUCACGAGUUAGUCGGUCCUAAGUUCAAGGCGAAAGCCGAAAAUUUUCAAGUAAAACAAAAAUGCCUAACUAUAUAAACAAAGCGAAUUAUAAUACACUUGAAUAAUUUUGAACGAAAGGGAAUACGGUUCCAAUUCCGUAACCUGUUGAGUAUCCGUUUGUUAUUAAAUAUGGGCCUCGUGCUCAUCCUGGCAACAGGAACGACCAUAAAGAAGCCGUCGAGAGAUAUCGGAAGAGUUUUCUUUUCUGUUUUAUAGCCGUACUACCAUGGAAGUCUUUCGCAGAGAGAUAUGGUAGAUGGGCUAGAAGAGCAUGACAUAUACUGUUGUGUCGAUAUUUUCUCCUCGGACCUUGAAAAUUUAUGGUGGGGACACGCAAACUUCUCAACAGGCCGUACCAAUAUCCGCAGCUGGUCUCCAAGGUGAAGAGUCUCUAGUCGAUAGAAUAAUGUAGGUAAGGGAAGUCGGCAAAUUAGAUCCGUAACUUCGGGAUAAGGAUUGGCUCUGAAGAUUGAGAUAGUCGGGCUUGAUUGGGAAACAAUAACAUGGUUUAUGUGCUCGUUCUGGGUAAAUAGAGUUUCUAGCAUUUAUGUUAGUUACUUGUUCCCCGGAUAGUUUAGUUACGUAGCCAAUUGUGGAACUUUCUUGCUAAAAUUUUUAAGAAUACUAUUUGGGUUAAACCAAUUAGUUCUUAUUAAUUAUAACGAUUAUCAAUUAACAAUCAAUUCAGAACUGGCACGGACUUGGGGAAUCCGACUGUCUAAUUAAAACAAAGCAUUGUGAUGGCCCUAGCGGGUGUUGACACAAUGUGAUUUCUGCCCAGUGCUCUGAAUGUCAAAGUGAAGAAAUUCAAGUAAGCGCGGGUCAACGGCGGGAGUAACUAUGACUCUCUUAAGGUAGCCAAAUGCCUCGUCAUCUAAUUAGUGACGCGCAUGAAUGGAUUAACGAGAUUCCUACUGUCCCUAUCUACUAUCUAGCGAAACCACAGCCAAGGGAACGGGCUUGGAAUAAUUAGCGGGGAAAGAAGACCCUUUUGAGCUUGACUCUAAUCUGGCAGUGUAAGGAGACAUAAGAGGUGUAGAAUAAGUGGGAGAUAUUAGACCUCGGUUUGGUAUCGUCAAUGAAAUACCACUACUCUUAUUGUUUCCUUACUUACUUGAUUAAAUGGAACGUGUAUCAUUUCCUAGCCAUUAUACGGAUAUAUUUAUUAUAUCUUAUGGUAUUGGGUUUUGAUGCAAGCUUCUUGAUCAAAGUAUCACGAGUUUGUUAUAUAAUCGCAAACAAAUUCUUUAAUAAAACGAUGCAUUUAUGUAUUUUUGAUUUGAAAAUUUGGUAUAACUCCAAUUACUCAGGUAUGAUCCAAUUCAAGGACAUUGCCAGGUAGGGAGUUUGACUGGGGCGGUACAUCUCUCAAAUAAUAACGGAGGUGUCCCAAGGCCAGCUCAGUGCGGACAGAAACCACACAUAGAGCAAAAGGGCAAAUGCUGACUUGAUCUCGGUGUUCAGUACACACAGGGACAGCAAAAGCUCGGCCUAUCGAUCCUUUUGGUUUAAAGAGUUUUUAACAAGAGGUGUCAGAAAAGUUACCAUAGGGAUAACUGGCUUGUGGCGGCCAAGCGUUCAUAGCGACGUCGCUUUUUGAUCCUUCGAUGUCGGCUCUUCCUAUCAUUGUGAAGCAAAAUUCACCAAGCGUUGGAUUGUUCACCCAUGCAAGGGAACGUGAGCUGGGUUUAGACCGUCGUGAGACAGGUUAGUUUUACCCUACUAAUGACAAAACGUUGUUGCGACAGCAUUCCUGCGUAGUACGAGAGGAACCGCAGGUACGGACCAAUGGCACAAUACUUGUUCGAGCGAACAGUGGUAUGACGCUACGUCCGUUGGAUUAUGCCUGAACGCCUCUAAGGUCGUAUCCGUGCUGGACUGCAAUGAUAAAUAAGGGGCAAUUUGCAUUGU